This 479-nucleotide ribosomal RNA is filed under the name uncultured bacterium. RNAcentral describes it as "partial 16S ribosomal RNA". It matches the Rfam family "Bacterial small subunit ribosomal RNA", at positions 28 to 507 of the family's 1533-position model. The record is from RNAcentral.
GAUGAACGCUAGCGGGAGGCCUAACACAUGCAAGCCGAGCGGUAUGGAUAGCUUGCUAUCCAGAGAGCGGCGUACGGGUGCGUAACACGUGUGCAACCUACCUUUAUCUGGGGGAUAGCCUUUCGAAAGGAAGAUUAAUACCCCAUAAUAUAAUGAUUGGCAUCAAUUAUUAUUGAAAACUCCGGUGGAUAGAGAUGGGCACGCGCAAGAUUAGAUAGUUGGUGAGGUAACGGCUCACCAAGUCAAUGAUCUUUAGGGGUCCUGAGAGGGAGAUCCCCCACACUGGUACUGAGACACGGACCAGACUCCUACGGGAGGCAGCAGUGAGGAAUAUUGGACAAUGGGUGAGAGCCUGAUCCAGCCAUCCCGCGUGAAGGAGGACGGUCCUAUGGAUUGUAAACUUCUUUUGUACAGGGAUAAGCCUACCCUCGUGAGGGUAGCUGAAGGUACUGUACGAAUAAGCACCGGCUAACUCCGUG